RNAcentral lists this unclassified non-coding RNA (260 nucleotides) under Hansenula anomala. Its description in RNAcentral is "Wickerhamomyces anomalus partial internal transcribed spacer region". The stretch from base 1 to 46 matches the Rfam family "Eukaryotic small subunit ribosomal RNA", at positions 1786 to 1831 of the family's 1831-position model. RNAcentral also lists the same sequence under 1 other name. Lineage: Eukaryota; Fungi; Ascomycota; Saccharomycetes; Phaffomycetales; Wickerhamomycetaceae. The record is from RNAcentral.
AAGUCGUAACAAGGUUUCCGUAGGUGAACCUGCGGAAGGAUCAUUAUAGUAUUCUAUUGCCAGCGCUUAAUUGCGCGGCGAUAAACCUUACACACAUUGUCUAGUUUUUUUGAACUUUGCUUUGGGUGCAUCAGCCUAGCUGCGUGCCCAAAGGUCUAAACACAUUUUUUUUAAUGUUAAAACCUUUAACCAAUAGUCAUGAAAAUUUUUAACAAAAAUUAAAAUCUUCAAAACUUUCAACAACGGAUCUCUUGGUUCUC